Molecule: ribosomal RNA, 253 nt
Filed under: uncultured bacterium
Lineage: Bacteria
Description: partial 16S ribosomal RNA
Rfam family: Bacterial small subunit ribosomal RNA
Source: RNAcentral
UACGAAGGGGGCUAGCGUUGCUCGGAAUUACUGGGCGUAAAGCGCACGUAGGCGGCUUUUUAAGUCAGGGGUGAAAUCCUGGAGCUCAACUCCAGAACUGCCUUUGAUACUGAAGAUCUUGAGUUCGGGAGAGGUGAGUGGAACUGCGAGUGUAGAGGUGAAAUUCGUAGAUAUUCGCAAGAACACCAGUGGCGAAGGCGGCUCACUGGCCCGAUACUGACGCUGAGGCACGAAAGCGUGGGGAGCAAACAGG